This 63-nucleotide transfer RNA is filed under the name Psammotettix sp. EMHAU-2015-Zz053036. RNAcentral describes it as "tRNA-Ser". The record is from RNAcentral. Lineage: Eukaryota; Metazoa; Arthropoda; Insecta; Hemiptera; Cicadellidae.
AGUUAUUUAGCUUAUAUUAAAGCAUAUAUUUUGAAAAUAUAAGAAAGAAUUAUUUAAUAACUU